RNAcentral lists this ribosomal RNA (253 nucleotides) under uncultured Lachnospiraceae bacterium. RNAcentral describes it as "partial 16S ribosomal RNA". It matches the Rfam family "Bacterial small subunit ribosomal RNA", at positions 524 to 776 of the family's 1533-position model. Lineage: Bacteria; Bacillati; Bacillota; Clostridia; Lachnospirales; Lachnospiraceae. The record is from RNAcentral.
UACGUAGGGGGCAAGCGUUAUCCGGAUUUACUGGGUGUAAAGGGAGCGUAGACGGUUAAUCAAGUCAGAAGUGAAAACCCAGGGCUCAACCUUGGGACUGCUUUUGAAACUGAGUAGCUAGAGUGCAGGAGAGGUAAGCGGAAUUCCUAGUGUAGCGGUGAAAUGCGUAGAUAUCACGCAGAACUCCGAUUGCGAAGGCAGCUUACUAAGCCAUAACUGACACUGAAGCACGAAAGCGUGGGGAUCAAACAGG